Molecule: ribosomal RNA, 460 nt
Filed under: uncultured bacterium
Lineage: Bacteria
Description: partial 16S ribosomal RNA
Rfam family: Bacterial small subunit ribosomal RNA
Source: RNAcentral
CCUACGGGGGGCAGCAGUGAGGAAUAUUGGUCAAUGGACGCAAGUCUGAACCAGCCAUGCCGCGUGCAGGAAGACGGCUCUAUGAGUUGUAAACUGCUUUUGUACGAGGGUAAACGCAGAUACGUGUAUCUGUCUGCAAGUAUCGUACGAAUAAGGAUCGGCUAACUCCGUGACAGCAGCCGCGGUAAUACGGAGGAUUCAAGCGUUAUCCGGAUUUAUUGGGUUUAAAGGGUGCGUAGGCGGUCGGAUAAGUUAGAGGUGAAAGCCCGAGGCUCAACUUCGGAAUUGCCUCUGAUACUGUUCGGCUAGAGAGUAGGAGCGGUAGGCGGAAUGUAUGGUGUAGCGGUGAAAUGCUUAGAGAUCAUACAGAACACCGAUUGCGAAGGCAGCUUACCGGGCUACUUCUGACGUUGAGGCACGAAAGCGUGGGGAGCAAACAGGAUUAGAUACCCGGGUAGUC